RNAcentral lists this ribosomal RNA (325 nucleotides) under uncultured eukaryote. RNAcentral describes it as "partial 18S ribosomal RNA". It matches the Rfam family "Eukaryotic small subunit ribosomal RNA", at positions 1470 to 1796 of the family's 1831-position model. The record is from RNAcentral.
CCCUUAGAUGUUCUGGGCUGCACGCGCGCUACACUGAUGCAUUCAACGAGCCUAUCCUUGACCGACAGGUCCGGGUAAUCUUUGAAUCUGCAUCGUGACGGGGAUAGAUUAUUGCAAUUAUUAAUCUUCAACGAGGAAUGCCUAGUAGGCGCAAGUCAUCAGCUUGCGUCGAUUACGUCCCUGCCCUUUGUACACACCGCCCGUCGCUACUACCGAUUGAAUGGCUUAGUGAGCUUUCUGGACUGUUGCGCUUCGUUGGAAACUUCGUUGUGCAUACGGGAAGGAAAUCAAACUUGAUCAUUUAGAGGAAGUAAAAGUCGUAACA